UUGGUACGGAAUAGCCUCUGGAAACGGAGAGUAAUACCGUAUGAGCUUCGGGGAAAGAUUUAUCGCCAAAGAUUGGCCCGCGUUAGAUUAGGUAGUUGGUGGGGUAAUGGCCUACCAAGCCUACGAUCUAUAGCUGGUUUUAGAGGAUGAUCAGCAACACUGGGACUGAGACACGGCCCAGACUCCUACGGGAGGCAGCAGUGGGGAAUCUUGGACAAUGGGGGCAACCCUGAUCCAGCCAUGCCGCGUGAGUGAUGAAGGCCUUAGGGUCGUAAAGCUCUUUCGCCUGUGAAGAUAAUGACGGUAGCAGGUAAAGAAACCCCGGCUAACUCCGUGCCAGCAGCCGCGGUAAUACGGAGGGGGUUAGCGUUGUUCGGAAUUACUGGGCGUAAAGCGCACGUAGGCGGACUGGAAAGUUGGGGUGUBYAAAUCCCAGGGCUCAACCCUGGAACUGCCUCCAAAACUAUCAGUCUAGAGUUCGAGAGAGGUGAGUGGAAUUCCGAGUGUAGAGGUGAAAUUCGUAGAUAUUCGGAGGAACACCAGUGGCGAAGGCGGCUCACUGGCUCGAUACUGACGCUGAGGUGCGAAAGUGUGGGGAGCAAACAGGAUUAGAUACCCUGGUAGUCCACACCGUAAACGAUGAAUGCCAGUCGUCGGGUAGCAUGCUAUUCGGUGACACACUAACGGAUUAAGCAUUCCGC
RNAcentral lists this ribosomal RNA (701 nucleotides) under bacterium N5III. Its description in RNAcentral is "bacterial SSU rRNA". It matches the Rfam family "Bacterial small subunit ribosomal RNA", at positions 133 to 872 of the family's 1533-position model. The record is from RNAcentral.